Molecule: ribosomal RNA, 254 nt
Filed under: uncultured bacterium
Lineage: Bacteria
Description: partial 16S ribosomal RNA
Rfam family: Bacterial small subunit ribosomal RNA
Source: RNAcentral
UACGGGGGGGGUAAGCGUUGUUCGGAAUUACUGGGCGUAAAGGGCUCGUAGGCGGCCAACUAAGUCAGACGUGAAAUCCCUCGGCUUAACCGGGGAACUGCGUCCGAUACUGGAUGGCUUGAGGUUGGGAGAGGGAUGCGGAAUUCCAGGUGUAGCGGUGAAAUGCGUAGAUAUCUGGAGGAACACCGGUGGCGAAGGCGGCAUCCUGGACCAAUUCUGACGCUGAGUGAGCGAAAGCCAGGGGAGCAAACGGG